Molecule: small RNA, 463 nt
Filed under: Pongo abelii (Sumatran orangutan)
Lineage: Eukaryota; Metazoa; Chordata; Mammalia; Primates; Hominidae
Description: processed transcript
Source: RNAcentral
CCCCUGAAAUGUCCUUAUGUGAUUAGAGUUCUGGGAGCUUCCUUAUUGAACUUUCAACCUGCCUCUGACUCUGUCCUGUUUUCAGAACCCCAACAAGCACAUCUCCCAGACGGAGGUGAUCAUCCGGUUUGCGUUCCAGACGUCCAUCACGGUGCUGUGCAUUGCCUGCCCCUGCUCCCUGGGGCUGGCCACGCCCACGGCUGUCAUGGUGGGCACCGGGGUGGCCGCGCAGAACGGCAUCCUCAUCAAGGGAGGCAAGCCCCUGGAGAUGGCGCACAAGAUAAAGACUGUGAUGUUUGACAAGACUGGCACCAUUACCCAUGGCGUCCCCAGGGUCAUGCGGGUGCUCCUGCUGGGGGAUGUGGCCACACUGCCCCUCAGGAAGGUUCUGGCUGUGGUGGGGACUGCGGAGGCCAGCAGUGAACACCCCUUGGGCGUGGCAGUCACCAAAUACUGUAAAGAG